This 503-nucleotide ribosomal RNA is filed under the name uncultured bacterium. RNAcentral describes it as "bacterial SSU rRNA". It matches the Rfam family "Bacterial small subunit ribosomal RNA", at positions 975 to 1482 of the family's 1533-position model. The record is from RNAcentral.
CUACCCUUGACAUGCCAGGAACCUUGCAGAGAUGCGAGGGUGCCCGAAAGGGAGCCUGGACACAGGUGCUGCAUGGCCGUCGUCAGCUCGUGUCGUGAGAUGUUGGGUUAAGUCCCGCAACGAGCGCAACCCUUGCCAUUAGUUGCUACGAAAGGGCACUCUAAUGGGACUGCCGGUGACAAACCGGAGGAAGGUGGGGAUGACGUCAGGUCCUCAUGGCCCUUAUGGGUAGGGCUACACACGUCAUACAAUGGCCGGUACAGAGGGCUGCCAAAGCGCGAGCUGGAGCCAAUCCCAGAAAACCGGUCGUAGUCCGGAUCGCAGUCUGCAACUCGACUGCGUGAAGUCGGAAUCGCUAGUAAUCGCGGAUCAGAAUGUCGCGGUGAAUACGUUCCCGGGUCUUGUACACACCGCCCGUCACACCAUGGGAGCGGGUUCUGCCAGAAGUGGUUGGCCUAACCGCAAGGAGGGCGUCCACCACGGCAGGGUUCGUGACUGGGGUG